This is a long non-coding RNA of Salvelinus sp. IW2-2015, 224 nucleotides long. RefSeq lists it as uncharacterized. The record is from RefSeq and is a predicted model, not a curated record. NCBI's taxonomy places the organism in Eukaryota, Metazoa, Chordata, Actinopteri, Salmoniformes, Salmonidae.
AUGAAUCAACAAAGAGGUAUACCGACAAGGAGGCAUACAAAGACUUCACCCUCUCUACAUCUCUGAUUAAUAUAACAGGAAACCUGUUCAAUCACCAUGCACUGCAAAAUCAUUGUGGCUAUGGAUACGGAGAACAUCAAGACAUUAACAUGCAAGAGGAUAUACCCAUUGGACUUGGGGCUCUGCUGGGAGUUUACAUCAUAUUUGGAUUUUUAAAUGCCGCU